CUAACCGUGCAAAGGUAGCAUAAUCACUUGUUCUUUAAAUAAGGACUUGUAUCAACGGCAUCACGAGGGUUUAACUGUCUCCUUUUUCAUAUCAGUGAAACUAAUUUCCCCGUGAAGAAGCGGGGAUAAUACUAUAAGACGAGAAGACCCCAUGGAGCUUUAAACCCAACUACACUCCUUUUAACUUUACUCUUAAACUCUAGGACCCUGUAUGUUCUGGUUUUAGGUUGGGGUGACCACGGAGCAUAAACUAGCCUCCACAAUGAAUAGACCUCCUCUUUAUCCAAGACCAACACCUCUAAGAAUUAGCAUUCUAACAUAAAAUGAUCCGAUAUUCGAUCAACGAACCAAGUUACCCUGGGGAUAACAGCGCAAUCCACUUCAAGAGCCCCUAUCGACAAGUGGGUUUACGACCUCGAUGUUGGAUCAGGGUAUCCUAGUGGUGCAGCAGCUACUAAAGGUUCGUUUGUUCAACGAUUAAAACCCUACGUGAUCU
This 496-nucleotide ribosomal RNA is filed under the name Guibemantis sp. Ca16. Its description in RNAcentral is "partial large subunit ribosomal RNA". It matches the Rfam family "Bacterial large subunit ribosomal RNA", at positions 1942 to 2606 of the family's 2925-position model. The record is from RNAcentral. Lineage: Eukaryota; Metazoa; Chordata; Amphibia; Anura; Mantellidae.